GCUACACAUGACAGGUUGAUGGGCUACACAUGGCAGGUUGAUGGGCUACACAUGGCAGGUUGUUGGGCUACACAUGGCAGGUUGAUGGGCUACACAUGACAGGUUGAUGGGCUACACAUGGCAGGUUGUUGGGCUACACAUGACAGGUUGUUGGGCUACACAUGACAGGUUGAUGGGCUACACAUGACAGGUUGAUGGGCUACACAUGGCAGGUUGAUGGGCUACACAUGACAGGUUGUUGGGCUACACAUGGCAGGUUGAUGGGCUACACAUGGCAGGUUGAUGGGCUACACAUGACAGGUUGAUGGGCUACACAUGGCAGGUUGAUGGGCUACACAUGACAGGUUGUUGGGCUACACAUGACAGGUUGAUGGGCUACACAUGGCAGGUUGAUGGGCUACACAUGACAGGUUGAUGGGCUACACAUGGCAGGUUGUUGGGCUACACAUGGCAGGUUGUUGGGCUACACAUGACAGGUUGAUGGGCUACACAUGGCAGGUUGUUGGACUACACAUGGCAGGUUGAUGGGCUACACAUGACAGG
This is a long non-coding RNA of Oncorhynchus keta (chum salmon), 543 nucleotides long. RefSeq lists it as uncharacterized. The transcript has 3 exons. The record is from RefSeq and is a predicted model, not a curated record. Lineage: Eukaryota; Metazoa; Chordata; Actinopteri; Salmoniformes; Salmonidae.